Molecule: ribosomal RNA, 252 nt
Filed under: uncultured bacterium
Lineage: Bacteria
Description: partial 16S ribosomal RNA
Rfam family: Bacterial small subunit ribosomal RNA
Source: RNAcentral
CGGGGAUGCGAGCGUUAUCCGGAAUUAUUGGGUUUAAAGGGUGCGUAGGCUGUCAUGUAAGUCAGUGGUGAAAUACCUUCGCUCAACGAGGGGCUGCCAUUGAUACUGUGUGACUGGAGUUGAAGCGCCGUGGGAGGAAUGAGUAGUGUAGCGGUGAAAUGCAUAGAUAUUACUCAGAACACCGAUUGCGAAGGCAUCUCACGAGAAUCAAACUGACGCUGAUGCACGAAAGCGUGGUUAUCAAACAGGAUU